GAUGAACGCUGGCGGCGUGCUUAACACAUGCAAGUCGAACGGACAGGCUCCUGCUUGCAGGGGUACUCGAGUGGCGAACGGGUGAGUAACACGCGGGUGAACUGCCCUGCACUUCCGGAUAUGCCUGGGAAACUGGGUCUAAUAUCGGAUAGGACGAUGGUUUGGAUGCCAUUGUGGAAAGUUUUUCGGUGUGGGAUGGGCUGGCGGCCUAUCAGCUUGUUGGUGGGGUAAUGGCCUACCAAGGCGUCGACCGGUAGCCGGCCUGGGAGGGUGCACGGCCACAAUAGGACUAAGGGACGGACCAGACGGGUACGGGAGGCAGUGGGCGAGAAUAUUACGGAGUGAGCGCGAGCCAGAUAUGGCGGCGUUGGGUGCGGGAAGAUCGCUUUCUAGGGGUGAACACCUGUCGCAGGAGACAAGGCGCAAGUGACGGUACCUGGAGAGGAAGCACCGGCUAACUACGUG
This 465-nucleotide ribosomal RNA is filed under the name uncultured bacterium. Its description in RNAcentral is "partial 16S ribosomal RNA". It matches the Rfam family "Bacterial small subunit ribosomal RNA", at positions 28 to 507 of the family's 1533-position model. The record is from RNAcentral.